This 1616-nucleotide small RNA is filed under the name Arabidopsis thaliana (thale cress). Its description in RNAcentral is "ATSL154950". Lineage: Eukaryota; Viridiplantae; Streptophyta; Magnoliopsida; Brassicales; Brassicaceae. The record is from RNAcentral.
UUGAAGGAGAACCAAGUUAGAGUUUAAGAGCAUGUGGUCGCAGUUGAGAUAAUAAGUUUGUCUAAAUGAGGAAGAAGGAAAAGUGUGUUGUCAUCUUCAGCUAGGCUAAGGUGAGGGUGGUAUUUGCGAAGCAUGGUAUCAUUUUCUUUUGUUAUGCUUCUUGACGCAUGAUAUGUAGGCUUAGAUCUGAUUGUAUAUGAAACAACCCGACCCAUUUUUAAAAAAAAUAUAAUUAAAUAUUCCUAUAAAUAUCUAAUUAAACCAACCAAUAAAAUAACAAUUAAACCGCAAGUCAAAAAUACUAUUUUAUGAAUAAAUAAACAAUUCGACCAACAAAACCAAGAAUAACUAACAAUACUAACCGGGUUCCAAUAACCAAAAACACCAAAAUAAAACAAACGAGUUCCUACAUCAUCCUCUCUUCCUUGCCAUGAUUCCACGAUCACACUUUAUCUUUACCUUAACAAAUUGAUUCUAAUAGCAAUUAAAGCCAGGAGAGACUCUCCUUGCGUCUGAAACAGUCCAGAAACGUCCGUUAACUAUUCAAUCGCUACGGUGAAAUCCUAGCUGCAGACGUCACAAAGCUGCCCACAAAAUCUCGUGCCGAUCGGAAAACAGACGAGACCACGAUCUCAGUUUCAAUCUUCGCUGGUCCUAAUUCGCGUCUGAGAAAACGUGUCUCACGAAACUUUUACCACGAUUUGAUAUGACGAAACUGAUUUCUCCCAAACCCUAACGAUUCUGCUCCUUCUCCUUUAUAAAACGAAAAGUGGCUAACUAAAGCCCUAAUUUCGAGUUUCCUUCUUUUAUAGGUACACUUUAGGGUUUUCAAUUAACCCAACCAAUUAAACCGGAUGAUUUAAAAACAAACCCUAACCGAUUUUCCGGUUCACGGGCGUUACAGUAUAUGAUAAGAUUACAUGAUGAUAUGACUUUAUGAUUGUUGAGUAUGGUGUUUGAUAAUGUGAUGUUAUGUAUGAUAUUAUAAGUAUGUUUAUGUUAAGUAUAAGUAUGUGUGUAUGAUGAUUAUGUAUGUUUCUAUGAAAGACUGUGGAGAAUCGAGGUAUGGGCAGUGGUCUCCGUAGUAAUGUGGACAGUGAUGGGCCGACGGGUUACAUGCUGGUCAAGAAAGGCUGACGAGCCUGGGAUGCAUGGGAGUGUCUGAGCCACGAGGGCCAGCCUCCACUUAUGAGGUUCUAGUCAUCACGAGGAUGACUGGACCUAACGAUGUGUAUAUUUAUAUUAAUAUAUAUAUAAGAUGAUUGUUAUGAAUAUGUUGUUAGAAGUUAAAGCAUGUUAGGUUGAUUGUGUGUGAUAAAUCUAUAUGUUAUGAUUAUGGUUGUAUAGCUUUAGAAAGUGUUCUAUGUUUCAGUGGGCAAAGUUGAUUCCCCUCACUGAGUAUUCUUUACUCACCCCCUUUUUUUCCUUUUUUCCUCAGGUUAGUAAGCGUGAGGAGUUGUGUGCAAUAUUUUGUUCGAGUAUGAAGUUUAAAGAAAAUGUUUUUGGCAAGAUCAGAUAAAUAACAUGCUGUCUUAGUCUAUAUGGCGGGGCGGGUGUUACACUUAGAUUCUUGUAAAGUAAGUGACAAAACUUGAGAGGGUAAACUGUUCAAUUUA